GGAAGUUCACCUAGAUGUUGAUUCAAGGAAUUCUUUUAAGGCUGAAAUAUUAAAGUAUUUUUUGUAUGACAGUUAAAUAAUUACUGGUGACACCAUGGUGAAGGAGAUCUCUAUGCUUUAUGUCCAUGAUUUUAUCUUGUGUGUAGCCUCUCUUUCCUUCUCUCUUUUUUCUCAUUAGUAUUAGAGAGAUAUGUUUAUGAACAUUAUACAAAAUUAAAAUGUGCAGGUUUUGUGUUCUGACAGAGGUGUAACGAUGUUUAUAUGGGCAAUUGGAAAAAUUAGUUUAAAAUCUUAACAAAGUACAGAUAUGAAAUAAGUUUAUAUCCCAGAAAGAUGUGAGCAGUGAUGUUCCAUGUUGAUGUGAUUUUUAAAUGCCAUUAAA
RNAcentral lists this long non-coding RNA (382 nucleotides) under Bos taurus (domestic cattle). RNAcentral's name for it is "long non-coding RNA NONBTAT011651". The record is from RNAcentral. Lineage: Eukaryota; Metazoa; Chordata; Mammalia; Artiodactyla; Bovidae.